AGAGCGAACGCUGGCGGCAGGCCUAAUACAUGCAAGUCGAACGGAUCCUUCGGGAUUAGUGGCGGACGGGUGAGUAACACGUGGGAACGUGCCCUUUGGUUCGGAACAACUCAGGGAAACUUGAGCUAAUACCGAAUGUGCCCUUCGGGGGAAAGAUUUAUCGCCAUUGGAGCGGCCCGCGUCUGAUUAGCUAGUUGGUGAGGUAAAGGCUCACCAAGGCGACGAUCAGUAGCUGGUCUGAGAGGAUGAUCAGCCACACUGGGACUGAGACACGGCCCAGACUCCUACGGGAGGCAGCAGUAGGGAAUCUUGCGCAAUGGGCGAAAGCCUGACGCAGCCAUGCCGCGUGAAUGAUGAAGGUCUUAGGAUUGUAAAAUUCUUUCAGCGGGACGAUAAUGACGGUACCCGCAGAAGAAGCCCGGCUAACUUCGUGCCAGCAGCCGC
RNAcentral lists this ribosomal RNA (444 nucleotides) under uncultured bacterium. Its description in RNAcentral is "SSU rRNA". It matches the Rfam family "Bacterial small subunit ribosomal RNA", at positions 26 to 518 of the family's 1533-position model. The record is from RNAcentral.